AAAAUCUUGGAAGAAAACUUGUUAGUUAAAAACUAAUGUCGAUGGUCAUAGGUUGUUAAUCAUUCAAGUUAGGAUAAUUAUGGAUGAUUUCAAGGGAUUAAGUAUGACGGUAUUUUAGUUCACAAUUACCAAAAGUAAUGAGAGGAUAUGUUCUAAUAUUAUCCCCCUUUUAUCUGUUAGGAAUCUAGUGCAUAGGUAUAAUACAGUACUGUAG
This 214-nucleotide unclassified non-coding RNA is filed under the name Hevea brasiliensis (rubber tree). The record is from RNAcentral. Lineage: Eukaryota; Viridiplantae; Streptophyta; Magnoliopsida; Malpighiales; Euphorbiaceae.